Molecule: small nuclear RNA, 138 nt
Organism: Toxorhynchites rutilus septentrionalis
Lineage: Eukaryota; Metazoa; Arthropoda; Insecta; Diptera; Culicidae
Product: U4 spliceosomal RNA
Exons: 1
Source: RefSeq, a predicted model, not a curated record
AGCUUUGCGCAGUGAUGAUAGCGUAACCAAUGAGGUUAUACUGAGGUGCGAUUAUUGCUAAUUGAAAAAAUAAAUCGUAUUGAAUAGUGUAUCAUGUUUUCUACAAGAAAUUUAGAACAGUUUCAUUCUGAUAAUAGU